GCCGAGGUGGUGAAAUCUGGUAUACACGCUACUUUGAGGGAGUAGUACCUUAAUAUAGGUGUACGGGUUCAAUUCCCGUUCUCGGCACAA
Molecule: transfer RNA, 90 nt
Filed under: Buchnera aphidicola (Anoecia oenotherae)
Lineage: Bacteria; Pseudomonadati; Pseudomonadota; Gammaproteobacteria; Enterobacterales; Erwiniaceae
Description: tRNA-Leu
Rfam family: tRNA
About the family: Transfer RNA (tRNA) molecules are approximately 80 nucleotides in length.
Source: RNAcentral